UACAGAGGGGGCAAGCGUUGUUCGGAAUUACUGGGCGUAAAGGGCGCGUAGGCGGCCUGCUAAGUCGAACGUGAAAUCCCCGGGCUCAACCCGGGAACUGCGUCCGAUACUGGCAGGCUUGAAUCCGGGAGAGGGAUGCGGAAUUCCAGGUGUAGCGGUGAAAUGCGUAGAUAUCUGGAGGAACACCGGUGGCGAAAGCGGCGCGCUGGACCUCUUCUGACGCUGAGGCGCGAAAGCCAGGGGAGCGAACGGG
This 253-nucleotide ribosomal RNA is filed under the name uncultured bacterium. RNAcentral describes it as "partial 16S ribosomal RNA". It matches the Rfam family "Bacterial small subunit ribosomal RNA", at positions 524 to 776 of the family's 1533-position model. The record is from RNAcentral.